ACAGUGUAGAAGGUGCAUUCUACGGAUAAAAAAAACAGUUUUUUCGAAAAUUAAAGAAGUUUCAGUUAAAAAAAUAUUCUAAAAAUAUUAUAAUUUCCUAAAACGUGUCCUGGUCGAUUUUUUUUGUCAAAAUAUAAAAAUAAACGAUUUUGGCUUUUUUUCUUCAUCAAUCUAUGAUUUCUCCAUAGUUUGUCUUGUGAUUUUCACAAACUCUUGUUCUAUGAUGCAUAUCUAUACAAUAUGUGGUGUUUGAGAAUUUAGUGCAAACAAGAGAUUGGUUUUUUCGGCUGAUGAUAAAGGAGUAGACUACUGUUAUUGAAAUCAAGUUCUACCUUAGAGGAUUUUAAAAGAAUAGUUUUCGAGGAUUUUAAAAACCAAAUGCAAUUAGGUUACGUGAUAUUUUUGGUCUGUGUCGUGUGUUCUUUUUUAAAAAAAAUUGUUUUUACAUUUUUUUUCCUUUCUAAAACAUUAUGGGAUUACCUUAUAUUUUUAUAUUUUUCCAUUAAACCUUUUUUAAAAAUAGUUUUAAUUUAUGUUUAAUUUGAUUAAGGAAAGAUUAGUUUUGGGAUUAUGAAAAAUGUUAUACUAUAUGAACAACUUAGUGAUGGUUUUAUACCAUAGGGACAAACUAUGUUGUUUUUUUGUUAUGUUUUGGCAAUUUUCCCUUAGAUCUUUCCGUCUUUCUUUCAGGUUAUCUAGUUUAAAGACAAUGAACUAGUUCAGCUUAUCUUUCUUGAACGACAUCAAAAUUAUAUGUCCUACAAUUGCUGGCCAGGCUUUGGGUUGAUUAAGCGCCCUAAUGAUCUCAUCUUUGGUGACUCCAAAGGUGACUUUCUCCAAAUGUGUAAGCUCUGCAUACUCUUCUCUGCUUUUGAUCAGUCUUGCCUUCAAGCACACCAAAAACAGGAGCGUCGCAGAACCACACCAGCGGCGCCUCUUACAAAAGCAUCCUCGUCUUGCCUGGAACAUUGUCAACUUUGCAGAACGUUAGACCAAAAAAAAAAACUUUGCAGAACGAUUUUACCAACCAGGUUCACUUGUCUUGAAACUGUUCGUAGUCAGCCCCCGGCUUGUUCCAAUUUUCUUUCCCUUUAGAGGAACUAAUUACUGAAAUAGAUCCAAACAUUAGUUUACUAAGCAAGCUUUCAUCUAAAAACAGGUUGGCGCUAAUAUAUUGUCUUGUCCACCA
RNAcentral lists this long non-coding RNA (1189 nucleotides) under Brassica napus (rape). RNAcentral describes it as "long non-coding RNA (BNAP_LNC013000)". The record is from RNAcentral. Lineage: Eukaryota; Viridiplantae; Streptophyta; Magnoliopsida; Brassicales; Brassicaceae.